AGAGGGGGGAUGACAGAGUGGGGGAGAGGGGGGAUGACAGAGUGGGGGAGAGAGGGGAUGACAGAGUGGGGGAGAGGGGGGAUGACAGAGUGGGGGAGAGGGUGGAUGACAGAGUGGGGGAGAGGGGGAUGACAGAGUGGGGGAGAGGGGGGAUGACAGAGUGGGGGAGAGGGGGACAGAUACACAACUAUCCACAUAUCCACAGACCACUGAUCACAGAAAUUAUUAUUCAUUCUGUUGGAAACAACAAGGUUACUAACCUGAGAACAGAGAGUCCCAGGUGACUGUAAAACAACAAGGUUACUAACCUGAGAACAGAGAGUCGAGGGUGACUGUAAAACAACAAGGUUACUAACCUGAGAACAGAGAGUCCCAGGUGACUGUAAAACAACAAGGUUACUAACCUGAGAACAGAGAGUCCCAGGUGACUGUAAAACAACAAGGUUACUAACCUGAGAACAGAGAGUCGAGGGUGACUGUAAAACAACAAGGUUACUAACCUGAGAACAGAGAGUCCCAGGUGACUGUAAAACAACAAGGUUACUAACCUGAGAACAGAGAGUCCCAGGUGACUGUAAAACAACAAGGUUACUAACCUGAGAACAGAGAGUCCCAG
Oncorhynchus keta (chum salmon) is the source of this 616-nucleotide long non-coding RNA. RefSeq lists it as uncharacterized. The transcript has 4 exons. NCBI's taxonomy places the organism in Eukaryota, Metazoa, Chordata, Actinopteri, Salmoniformes, Salmonidae. The record is from RefSeq and is a predicted model, not a curated record.